Molecule: non-coding RNA, 2395 nt
Organism: Microcebus murinus (gray mouse lemur)
Lineage: Eukaryota; Metazoa; Chordata; Mammalia; Primates; Cheirogaleidae
Source: RefSeq, a predicted model, not a curated record
UAGAACAAUGGAAAGAACUGGGGGGUACCUGGCAAGGAGAAAACAAUUUCAUUGGUUUUAUUGGUGGGCCAGGGGCAGGAGGGAGUGACAGAAGAUAACCACCUUCAAAAAUCUGAAGGUCUGAAGGACCAUCACCUCUUAGUGGCUCUAUGUUAUGGGGUGAGUUGCACCUCCCUAAAAUUGAUAUUAAAGUCCUAACAACCAGUCAGAAUGUUGACUCCUUGGACAUAGGGUCUUCAAAGAUGUUACCAAGUUAAAACAAAGUCAUUAGGAUACGCUCUAAUUCAAUAUGACUGGUGUCCCUAUAAGAAGGAAAUUUGGACAGAUAAUUACAGAGCAAAGACCACCAUCUUAUAAGCCAAGGAGAGACAGCUCAGAAGAAAUCAACCUGCCAUCACCUUGAUCCCAGACGUAUAGCACCCACAACUAGCCACCUAGUCUGUGGUACUUUGUUAUGGCAGUGCUAGGACACUUAAUAUGCUCUAAAAGACGGAAUCAGAACUGAGGAGCAGAAGUUUGGUUCAGUGGAAGGAAGAACUUUCUGACAAUCAGUAUUCUACAAGAAGAGAAUGCCUCCUCAAUGCCCAAUGGCUAUGAGGGUCGAUAAAAAGGCAGGCUCAGCUCACCAUUAAUGCAAUAGCAGAGCCUGGGGCCUCAUCAAAAGCUACUGAGGCAAAAGGCUGAAUGCCCCAGGCUAGGGAGAGAUCAACUGCUAAUAACAUCCAUCAGCCAAGAAGUGCAGCAAAGCCAAACAGAGCAAGCCUGCAAUGAUCAGGAGAGGGCUCUGACUAAUCUGACCGGCCUGCCCCAGCUGUACCUGCUGAAGGUGCAUUAUACAUCACAACCUGCUGAGCCCCAGGCAGCACAUGCGAGCAGAGUAGGACACCGAAGCCUGGCCAUCCAUAAAGAGACACCUUCACACACAUUGCCCAGGUCACCAUGCUGGUCUGAAAGCUUUCAGGUCAGCCAAAGAGCAGAUUCCUGAGCUAAAUCAGAAGAGGAAAAAAAAAAAAAAACUCAGCCUGAAGAAAGUCAAGAGACAAAUAGAAGUGCCUUAAGCAAUCUCAUGCAGGCAGGAUGAUACAGAGAGGUGGCCUUUACCAAGGAAGCAAAAAGAAGGGUGUGUGUGUGUGUGAAGCCAAAGUGCCUUCGCCAAAGCUGCAAAGGAAACAAAAAUAAACUAACAGGAUAAAAGGAAAGCUGUUGCAUGAGGAAGAACUUUUGCUCCAGUGAGAGAGAGAGAGAGAGAGAGAGAGAGAGAGAGAGAGAGAGAGAGAAAGAGAGAGAGAGAGAAGAAAAAGAAAGCACACACUGAAAUGAUCUAAAGCUGCCUAUAAAUAUUUGGGAACAUCAAAGGCGGUCCUGUUAAAUUAAAAAUGCUGUCACACAGAUAGGAACUAGCCUCUAGCACUGCCAGCUUCAACAUGUGAGCCUGUGAUCUGAGGAGCGAAGGCUCAGCUCCUCAAGAAAUCUGAUUCACUACAGAAAAAAGUGAAGGAGCAGUUGAGUUUUAAUAAGGGCAUUAAAUACCUUAGGAAUGAGCUAAUUAGAGUUUAACUCUUUCAAGAUUGUCCGAGCUCUUAAGAAUGCUGUAAAAUAAGCUCCCUCCAAAAUCUAGUUAAAUCGGUCUCAAAACCUGCAAUAGGAAAGAAAAGAAUUAAAAUAGCACCUUAGGACUUCAAAGCUGAUAAAUCCCACCAGGUCAUCGCAGACUUAAAGGCAGAGGCCAAGUGAAGAGAAGGAGGGAAGGUUAACUAAGAUUUGUUUUCUGAGGUGAGGUUGCUUGUUUUGAGACAUUUUUUUUUUUCUAGUUUAGACUAGAUAAGAACAAGCUCACUUUCUAUGCCAGACUCAUCCUACCCUGCGAGUAUGCCCUUUGCCCAAGACACUCUGAGGAGAGAUACAGGGCGUUGAGGGGGAAGCCCUGCUGACCUCCCUCGCUCACUUGCUCCCUCAAAUGCCACACGAGAAAUUCUGGCUGAGCCUCCAAGAUACACUUAAGGUCACUACGGGAAGUCACUCUACAGUUUUCCCCACACACGCUAUGGAUCAGAAUUCCAAGGAACCAGGAAGAGUCCCCAGUUAGGAAAUUUCUAUCGGGAUAGCAAAUCCUUUUGUCCUUGAAGCAGGAAGAAGUGGAACCUCCUCUUGGGAAAGCACACACACACCCCUUCAGAGAAAGAGCGUCUAUCGCCAGUCUCAGGAAUGUGAGAGCAGGAGGCAGACAGCAACAGAAACCACCUUCUCCACGGAAGGGGAGGAAUGCGCAGCCUAGUCUUGGGGGGGCGGGGGGGGUAAAAAAAACCCACAAUACACUCCAAUUAUUCCCAUUUUUAGACAAAGUCAAUGUGUCUAAUUUGGGGGGUUAAGAUUAAUAAAGUAUUUGCUUUGGCAA